Lolium perenne is the source of this 962-nucleotide long non-coding RNA. RefSeq lists it as uncharacterized. NCBI's taxonomy places the organism in Eukaryota, Viridiplantae, Streptophyta, Magnoliopsida, Poales, Poaceae. The record is from RefSeq and is a predicted model, not a curated record.
AAAAACCUUGACGUUGUAGAUGGUGUGGAAAUUGAACCCCAAACUGCUAAUCCCUGAAAUAAGCACCCUCAACUCCCUAAUCCCGGUCCGUGGAGACAGUUUGGGCGUUCCCAAAUCCCAGGAUUCUGACGUGGAUUAUGAGGCAACGUUGGGAGUGGGCUUUGGACUGAAAGGGAAAAAACGUUUGGCCCAAACAUUAUUUGUGCGGCCCAUCAAUGCCAGCCUAUUACCUUUCGGCGAGCCUGGAGAUUCCUCGACCCAUCCGCAGACUCUGCUCCUCUGAUCCCGCGGCGACGGCCAUGGCAAUGACGAGCGGAUGAUCGCGGCUGCUGGUGGACGAGCGCGGCGAACAUUGAAGAGGCUUUAGGAUUUCAGUAUGGAUCAUGCAGAAAUUCUGUCCGUGCGGUUCCAUUUUGGUGGAGAGUUCGUUCACAUUGGGAAGGAGUUAGAUUAUGUUGGGGGUGACGAGGAGAUUUCUGAGAUUGAGAGAGAAAAGAUGUCACUGCAGGAGGUGAUUGGGUUCUUGAAGGAUCACAUGGAAGUGAAGGACUCGGUGAAAUUGUAUUUCUUGCCACCUGGCAAGGAGCUUGUGAAUGGCUUGGUUUUCCUCUAUGAUGAUGCAAGAUGUGUGAACAUGUCUGAGCAGAUAACAAGAGCACCAACGGUUCCUACUAGGAAAAGUCCAAGAAGAGAAGCACAAUCAGCAGUAGCUAGUUCAAGCAUCCCACAAGGUGCUACUGCCGCUAGUAGAGGGAAAAAGAGACUUCUAAGUGGAAAAUUGAAAGAGUACUUGACUGCAUCUGGGAACUAUUAAAGCAACGGCUAGCACUCCUGUGUUUCUUUUGUUUAUCUUCAGAAACUGAACAGGUCUUAUUUUGUCAAGUUCACUAAACCUGUGUUCAUCGUGUAAUGCUUGAGGAAACUGAACCUGUGUUGAGCAUGAUACAUGUUAUUUAUGUGCA